RNAcentral lists this ribosomal RNA (492 nucleotides) under uncultured bacterium. Its description in RNAcentral is "partial 16S ribosomal RNA". It matches the Rfam family "Bacterial small subunit ribosomal RNA", at positions 29 to 507 of the family's 1533-position model. The record is from RNAcentral.
AGUGAACGCUGGCGGUAGGCCUAACACAUGCAAGUCGAACGGCAGCACAGUAAGAGCUUGCUCUUACGGGUGGCGAGUGGCGGACGGGUGAGGAAUACAUCGGAAUCUACUUUUUCAUGGGGGAUAACGUAGGGAAACUUACGCUAAUACCGCAUACGACCUACGGGUGAAAGCAGGGGAUCUUCGGACCUUGCGCGAUUGAAUGAGCCGAUGUCGGAUUAGCUAGUUGGCGGGGUAAAGGCCCACCAAGGCGACGAUCCGUAGCUGGUCUGAGAGGAUGAUCAGCCACACUGGAACUGAGACACGGUCCAGACUCCUACGGGAGGCAGCAGUGGGGAAUAUUGGACAAUGGGCGCAAGCCUGAUCCAGCCAUACCGCGUGGGUGAAGAAGGCCUUCGGGUUGUAAAGCCCUUUUGUUGGGAAAGAAAAGCAGCAGGUUAAUACCCCGCUGUUCUGACGGUACCCAAAGAAUAAGCACCGGUUAACUUCGUG